RNAcentral lists this ribosomal RNA (253 nucleotides) under uncultured bacterium. RNAcentral's name for it is "partial 16S ribosomal RNA". It matches the Rfam family "Bacterial small subunit ribosomal RNA", at positions 524 to 776 of the family's 1533-position model. The record is from RNAcentral.
UACGUAGGGCGCAAGCGUUGUCCGGAAUUAUUGGGCGUAAAGAGCUCGUAGGCGGUUUGUCGCGUCUGCUGUGAAAACCUGAGGCUCAACCUCGGGCUUGCAGUGGGUACGGGCAGACUAGAGUGCGGUAGGGGUGACUGGAAUUCCUGGUGUAGCGGUGGAAUGCGCAGAUAUCAGGAGGAACACCGAUGGCGAAGGCAGGUCACUGGGCCGCAACUGACGCUGAGGAGCGAAAGCGUGGGGGGCGAACAGG